This 497-nucleotide ribosomal RNA is filed under the name uncultured bacterium. Its description in RNAcentral is "bacterial SSU rRNA". It matches the Rfam family "Bacterial small subunit ribosomal RNA", at positions 8 to 524 of the family's 1533-position model. The record is from RNAcentral.
AGAGUUUGAUCAUGGCUCAGGAUGAACGCUGGCGGCGUGCCUAACACAUGCAAGUCGAGCGAUUCUCUUCGGAGAAGAGCGGCGGACGGGUGAGUAACGCGUGGGUAACCUGCCCUGUACACACGGAUAACAUACCGAAAGGUAUGCUAAUACGAGAUAAUAUGCUUUUAUCGCAUGGUAGAAGUAUCAAAGCUCCGGCGGUACAGGAUGGACCCGCGUCUGAUUAGCUAGUUGGUGAGGUAACGGCUCACCAAGGCGACGAUCAGUAGCCGACCUGAGAGGGUGAUCGGCCACAUUGGAACUGAGACACGGUCCAAACUCCUACGGGAGGCAGCAGUAGGGAAUAUUGCGCAAUGGACGGAAGUCUGACGCAGCGACGCCGCGUGAGCGAUGAAGGUCUUCGGAUCGUAAAGCUCUGUCCUUGGGGAAGAAGGCGAAAGCUUGACGGUACCCAAGAAGAAAGCCCCGGCUAACUACGUGCCAGCAGCCGCGGUAAU